CGUAAGUGUAGCCUUCGCCGAAGAAGUACUUGUUGCGCAGUGGGGCCCGGUCCACCGUGUGCUCGUUGUACAGGCCCUUCUCAGCACGGGACACCACCUCGUCAAUGCGGGCCUCGAUCUUGGCGCACUCGUCCUGGCUGAAGAGACGCAUCUGGCGGAUGCCGCUCUUCACCUUGCGCGCCUCCUCCUCCUUCUGCAGCUGCUGCUCCUCAUAGUCGCUGCGCUCGGGGUCCGAGUCCUCCUGAUACUUGCGCUUGGCCCCGGACACAGGACGGAGUUUCGCUCUGUCGCCAGGCUGGAGUGCAAUGGCGCGAUCUCGGCUCACUGCAACCUCCGCCUCCCAGGUAUAAGCGAUUCUCCUGCCUCAGCCUCCCGAGUAGCUGAGACUACAGAGAUACCAGGGUUGUGUGCACACAGAGGAAAGGCCAUGUGAGGACACAGUGAGGACAGCUGUCUGCAAACCACCAAAGAAACCAAACCUGCUGACACCUUGACCUUGGACCGCCAGCCUCC
RNAcentral lists this non-coding RNA (513 nucleotides) under Pongo abelii (Sumatran orangutan). The record is from RNAcentral. Lineage: Eukaryota; Metazoa; Chordata; Mammalia; Primates; Hominidae.